AACGAACGCUGGCGGCAGGCCUAACACAUGCAAGUCGAGCGCCCCGCAAGGGGAGCGGCGGACGGGUGAGUAACGCGUGGGAACGUACCCUUUGCUACGGAAUAGCCUCGGGAAACUGGGAGUAAUACCGUAUGUGCUCUUCGGAGGAAAGAUUUAUCGGCAAAGGAUCGGCCCGCGUUGGAUUAGGUAGUUGGUGGGGUAAUGGCCUACCAAGCCGACGAUCCAUAGCUGGUUUGAGAGGAUGAUCAGCCACACUGGGACUGAGACACGGCCCAGACUCCUACGGGAGGCAGCAGUGGGGAAUCUUAGACAAUGGGCGCAAGCCUGAUCUAGCCAUGCCGCGUGAGCGAUGAAGGCCUUAGGGUUGUAAAGCUCUUUCAGUGGGGAAGAUAAUGACUGUACCCACAGAAGAAGCCCCGGCUAACUCCGUGCCAGCAGCCGCAGUAA
RNAcentral lists this ribosomal RNA (447 nucleotides) under uncultured bacterium. RNAcentral's name for it is "partial 16S ribosomal RNA". It matches the Rfam family "Bacterial small subunit ribosomal RNA", at positions 29 to 523 of the family's 1533-position model. The record is from RNAcentral.